RNAcentral lists this ribosomal RNA (6743 nucleotides) under Triticum aestivum (bread wheat). Its description in RNAcentral is "partial small subunit ribosomal RNA". Lineage: Eukaryota; Viridiplantae; Streptophyta; Magnoliopsida; Poales; Poaceae. The record is from RNAcentral.
GAACCCUAGCCCCCUUUCUUCGUCCCCUCAAUCCCUAUAGCCGCUGCACCCCUCCCUCUCCCUUCUGUGCGUGCGCUCGACCAAGGACGUCGUCGUCGCCCUCGGCUGCUCCUCCACGCCGGGGUCUUCCUCCUCUUUCUCCUCGCCUUCCCAUCGGUUGCGCUCAGGUCGUCACCGUCGACGAAUAGGAUAGUGCGGGCCGCUUCCUCCUUUUCCUCCGGCCGGAUCUAUGGCGUGCGACCGCGGAGGCGAGCCUCUCCGGUGGCAGAGGCAAAGGGCGACCACAUGGAUCGAUCCCUGCAGGAGAUAGAAGAUGGGAGAGAGGGAAAGAAGGAAGGAGAGGAGGAAGACCCAGUGGCGGGCGGGAGAGGGUCACCAGCCGGCGCCGGCGAGGUCAAGUGCGACCUGAUGGUCGGCGGCGGCUCGAUCCACUCCUGGAUCUUUAUUGUUCCACUUCCCCACUACCUAACACCGAGCAAGAGGGCUGCCCGAGGAAGAGGGUGAGGACGCAGGGAUUGAAGAGGGUGUUCCCGCAUUCAUCGUCUGGCCAAGUGCAAGGACGAGGACGAGGACGCGGGGUGGAGCAUGUCAUCCCUCUGGUUAUCGCCUUCCUUUCUGCUGCUGGGCUGAGAUGAGGGUUUUCUCCAGCGAUUGUGGUGGCCUGAGUCAGAGAUCGACAGCCAGAUGCUUGUGGCUACCACACAAAACGUGCUCUCUUACUGACCUCGAGGUCCGGCCGCAAUUCCUCUUGUUUUUGCUCCAAGGUAUAGAAGAAGGACCUUUGCUUAAUGGUUGAUUUUCUUCUGCUCACGGCAGCUUGCUCGAGGCAAACAUGCAAGCCUGACGUGCACUGAUGGCGCUGCCGGCAGUAUCAAGGAUGGAAACAGCAAGACACUCUUUUAGGUCAGAGAAACUGGCGGUGCCAAUGAUAACGCCUGAACCUUCGUGACUGCAGCAGCCACCAUCAUGUUGUAGCUCAGCCAGACCACGACCAUCGAUAGGUGACCAUCUUCAUUGAGGUAAAAGGAAAAGAGAACAUUGGAGGAAAAGGCAAUAUGGCAGAUUCUCUAAGCUUUCUCAAAUGUUUGAAGGAAAAGAUAGUUACAAUUAUUUUUCUCUCGCCUUAUUACAUCUUGAUGUUAAUAGGCGUUGGAAGGUACUAUGGACCACAUUCAAGGUUUACCGAAUUUGCACAAUCCUAUUACAGUUUAUUUUGAUGAAAGAAUUGACCAGUUCUUCCUUGAGUAAAUUAGUAUUGCUGAUGCUACUCCUUUGUGCAUUGUUACAUAGAGUUAUAGUUGUGAAGGUGUGUACGAAUCAACAUAUAAUGCCCACCAUCCUAUUACAGUUUGUUUUGAUGACAAAUUGUGCAGCUCUUACUUGAGUAAAUUGUGCAGAUCUUCCUUGAGUAAAUUAGUAUUGUGGUUACUAAUCCUUUGUGCAUUUGGGUACAGCUCUACUGAAAUACUUCCUCCGUUCCUAAAUAUAAGUCUUUCUAGAGAUUACACUACAAACUACAUACGGAUGUAUAUAGACAUAUUUUAGAGUGUAGAUUCACUCAUUUUGCUCGGUAUAUAGUCCGUAAUAGAAUCUCUAAAAAGACUUAUAUUUAGGAACGGAGGGAGUACUUCAUAUGCCCAUUUUAAACCCAGACCUGACUUUAAAUCAUUUCUGUUCUCCUGAAUUUUAGUCCGCUUCAGCAAUGCUAUGACCUGCCACUCCAUGUAUACAUGAAAAACGACCACAGUUUUGCUGUUGUGUUUUGGUCAAUCAUCUGCGUUUCAAUUCCUACUGAUCUCUCAUCUAUUUGGCAAUUGAUGCCACCCGAAGGGCUGCCAACCCAAGACAACAUCGGUACUAUCCUUCAAUAAAGAAAAUACAUGCAUGCAGAGAAAUCUGAAAUAGUAGGAAAUGUGAAAUCUCACCAGUUGAUCUCUCGCCCAAAUGAGGAACCAUGGAAGAAAAGGGGAUAAACAUGCAUGAUGGAUGCAGUACGUGCUGCUUCAUAUUCUAUUAUGGACCGGCAACACAUAGAAUUAUUUGUGGACUGGGCUAGGUAGCAUAUGGGCCUUUCAAAUAACUAUGCCCUCAUAAAAGUUUGAUACAAACACUGCUAAAAAAUUACAUCUUUGACUGGUCUAUACAUCUUAUACAAAUAUAUUCUUUUUCAAACUCAGAUUUUUCAGCGUGAUAACCAUAUUUUCAACUAAAAAAUGCCAUCUAAACAGGUCUAUACAUUUUUAUACAAAUAUGAUUUUUUUUCAAACUCGGAUUUAUCAGUGUGAUAAACACAUCUUCAAUAUAGCAUGAUUUAACACAUGGGAUUUCUACUAUCAAUAUCGAAUAUGUCCUUACAAAAUGAAAUUAUUUUUAUCGACAACAUGGCUUUAGUGGGUCUCUGCGCUAUUUGGCGCAACGGGUCAACUAGUCUUUAUAAAGGAGUAGAUGGUGUUAUUAGACGUUGUGUACCUGAGCAUGAACAGGAACAGAUCCUACGCAAGUGCUAUUCCGAGGCUUAUGAAGGACACCAUGCUGGAGAUAGAACUGCACAUAAGGUAUUGCAAUCCGAUUUUUAUUGGCCUACUCUCUUCAAGGAUGCCCGUAAGUUUGUUGUCUUGUGAUGAAUGUCAAAGAAUUAGUAAUAUUAGUAGACGUCAAGAAAUGCCUAUGAAUUAUUCACUUGUUAUUGAACCAUUUGAUGUUUGGGGCUUUGAUUAUAUGAGACCUUUUCCUUCCUUUAAUGGGUAUACACAUAUUUUAGGUGUUGUUGAUUACGUUACUAAGUGGGUAGAAGCUAUUCUAACUAGUAGUGCUGAUCAUAACACCUCUAUUAAGAUGCUUAAAGAAGUUAUUUUUUUGAGGUUUGGAGUCCCUAGAUACUUAAUUACUGAUGGUGGUUCACAUUUUAUUCAUGGUGCUUUUUGUAAAAUGCUUGCUAAGUAUGAUUAAUCAUAGAAUUGCAUCUCCAUAUCAUCCACAGUCUAGUGGCCAAGUAGAACUUAGCAAUAGAGAGCUUAAAUUAACUUUGCAAAAGACUGUUAAUAGAUCUAGAAAGAAUUGGUUCAAGAAACUUGAUGAUGCAUUAUGGGCUUAUAGAUCUGCAUAUAAAAAUGCUAUGGGUAUGUCUCCAUAUAAAAUGGUUUUUGAUAAAGCAUGUCACUUACCUCUUGAACUAGAACAUAAGGCAUAUUGGGCUAUUAAAGAGCUCAACUAUGACUUUAAACUUGCCGGUGAGAAAAGACUUUUUGACAUUAGCUCACUUGAUGAAUGAAGAACCGAGGCCUACGAGAAUGCCAAAUUGUUUAAAGAAAAAGUUAAAAGAUGGCAUGAUAAAAGGAUACAAAAACGUGAGUUUAAUGUAGGUGAUUAUGUAUUAUUGUACAACUCUUGUUUAAGAUUUUUUGCAGGCAAACUCCUAUCUAAAUGGGAAGGCCCUUACAUCAUUGAGGAGGUCUACCGUUCCGGUGCCAUAAAAAUCAACAACUUCGAAGGCACAAAUUCGAGGGUGGUGAACGGUCAAAGAAUUAAACAUUAUAUCAGGUAAUCCUAUAAAUGUUGAAACUAAUGUUAUUGAAACCGUAACCCCGAAGGAAUUCAUAAGGGAGACUUUCUAGAAUGUUUCAGACUCCGAAAAGCAAUAGGUACGUGGUACGGUAAGCAAACCGACUCCAAAACAGUUCUAAUGGCAUUUUCUCCGUUUUGGAAUAUUUAAGAAAAUAGGAAAAUAAGAAGCAGACCGGAAAGGAUACGAGGCUUCCAUGAGGGUGGAGGGCGCGCCCUACCCCCCUGGGCGCGCCCCCUGCCUCAUGGGUACCUCGUGUGCUCUUCGGACUUCGUUUUCUUGCACGAUACUUCUUUUGGUCGGUAAAAAUUCAUUAUAUAAUUUCCCGAAGGUUUUGACCACCGUAUCACGCAAAUAUCUUCUGUUUUUGUUUUGAGCUGUUUUCUGCCAGGGUUGUCAAGGCCAAGCAUCAUGUCGUCUCCCUCCUCCUCCAACAAUUAGGGCAAGGAUGCUUGGCUAAUGAAGAUAGAGUUGAAGAGAGAAGAGCCCGGAGAGAUCAACAAGGAUGAUGGGAUCAAGAAGGCCAUGGGGGACCAAGUUCCGGCAGUAGCAGAAGAAGACAUCCUUCAACCUCACCACAAUCUCUUUACCCCAAUGGAGAUUGAGGCUUUCAAGAUGAUUGAGUUGGCUCGUAUUCAAAACACGUAUCUCACAAGUGAAAAUAUUUUGUUGAAGGAGCAUAUCAUCGCACUCAAGGGCAUUAUCCGCAAAUUGGAGGAUCUCCUACGCUCGAUGUGCGACUAUCCAUCAUCACCAACACCUUCUUCACCAACAAAGAAGAACUGAGUCUCGCGUAUGGGCACUCCCCUUGGCAACUGCCAAGCUUGGGGGAGUGCCCCGGUAUCGUAUCACCAUCACACUUUUAUCUUUACCGUUUUUCUUAGUUCGAUCAUUUUGAUAAUAUCUUGAUCUAGUAGAAUAAAGUUUUAUUAUGAUCUAGCUGUGAGUUUUGCUUUAUGAACCUUCUAUGUAAUCGAGUCCGUGAGCUAUAUAUAAUAAAGAUUAGUGUUGAGUCAGGGGCUUGAAUAUUUUGCUAUGAUCUUGAGGGAAUAGAAUAAAAUAAAAGAGAAGAAAUAAAAAGAAAUAAAGGGAUCAUGUGGAUCUUAUGGAGAGUAAUGAGCUCACAUAUACGGAGUAUGAUGAAUAAAAAUUGUUGAGAGUUGACAAACAUAGUUUUGGUCAUCGUUGCAAUUAAUAGGAAGUAAUAAAGAAAGAGAGGUUUUCACAUAUAAAUAUACUAUCUUGGACAUCUUUUAUGAUUGUGAGCACUCAUUAAAAUAUGAUUUGCUAAAGAGUUGACGUUGAACAAGGAAGACAAUGUAAUGGGUUAUGUUUUCUUACAUCUGAGAUAAAUUAUAUUGUCAUGGAUCAUCCAACAUGUUGAGCUUGCCUUUCCCUCUCAUGCUAGCCAAAUUCUUUGCACCAAGUAGAGAUACUACUUGUGCUUCCAAUUAUCUCUAAACCCAGUUUUGCCAUGAGAGUCCACCAUAUCUACCUAUAGAUUGAGUAAGAUCCUUCAAGUAAGUUGUCAUUGUUGCAAGCAAUAAGAAUUGCUCUCUAAAUAUGUAUGACUUAUUAGUGUGGAGAAAAUAAGCUUUAUAUGAUCUUGUGAUGUGGAAGAAAUAAAACUGACAGACUGCAUAAUAAAGGUCCAUAUCACAAGUGGCAAUAUAAAGUGACAUUCUUUUGCAUUAAGAUUUUGUGCAUCCAACUAUAAAAGCACAUGACAACCUCUGCUUCCCUCUGCGAAGGGCCUAUCUUUUAUUCUUGUCUAUUACUUCAUAUAAGAGUCACGGUGAUCUUCACCUUUCCUUUUUACAUUUUAUCCUUUAGCAAGCACAAUGUGUUGGAUAGAUUCUGAUAUAUAUGGCUAAUUGGAUGUGGGUUUUCAUGAACUAUUAUUGUUGACAUUACCCUUGAGGUAAAAGGUUGGAAGGCAAAAUUAUAAGCCUCUAUCUUUCUCUGUGUCCGAUUAAAACUUCAUAACCAUAAAUAUUGCUUGAGUGUUAGCAAUUAUGAAAGACAAAAAGAUGGUUGAGUAUGUGGACUUGCUGAGAAGCUCUUAUAUUGACUCUUUCCUAUGUUAUGAUAAAUUACAAUUGCUUCAAUGACUGAGAUUAUAGUUUGUUAGUUUUCAAUGAAGUUUCUGAUUCACACUUGAGUAUGUGAAUGAAUUGUUAAUUUAGCAUAGGAGAUCAUAUGAAAAAUAUAUAUAUAUAUAUGUUGCUGUUAUAACAAUGAUCAUGAGGCCCUCAUGUCCGUAUUUUAUUUUAUCGACACCUCUAUCUCUAAACAUGUGGACAUAUUUUUCGAUUUCGGCUUUCGCUUGAGGACAAGCGAGGUCUAAGCUUGGGGGAGUUGAUACGUCCAUUUUUCAUCAUGCUUCUAUAUCGAUAUUUAUUGCAUUAUGGGCUGUUAUUACACAUUAUGUCACAAUACUUAUGCCUUUUCUUUCUUAUUUUACAAGGUUUACAUGAAGAGGGGUAAUGCCGGCAGCUGAAAUUCUGUGUUGCAAAAGGUGCAAAUAUUAGAGACCUAUUCUACACAUCUCCAAAAGUCUUGAAACUCCACGGGAAUUAUUUUUAGAAUAUAUAGAAAAUAUUGGGCGAAAGAAGUACCAGAGGGGGGCCACCCACCGUCCACGAGGGUGGGGGCGGGCCCUACCCCCUGGGCGCGCCCCCUGCCUCGUGGGCCCCCAGGUGGCCCUCUGAUGCCCAUUUUUGGCUAUAUGGAGUCUUUCGUCGAGGAAAAAAUCAGAAGCAAGCUCACGGGAUGAAACUCCGCCGCCACGAGGCGGAACCUUGGCGGAACCAAUCUAGGGCUCCGGCGGAGCUGUUCUGCUGGGGAAACUUCCCUCCGGGAGGGGGAAAUCAUCACCAUCGUCAUCACCAACGAUCCUCUCAUCGGGAGGGGGUCAAUCUCCAUCAACAUCUUCACCAGCACCAUCUCAUCUCAAACCCUAGUUCAUCUCUUGUAUCCAAUCUUUGUAUCCAAACCUCAGAUUGGUACCUGUGGGUUGCUAGUAGUGUUGAUUACUCCUUGUAGUUGAUGCUAGUUGGUUUAUUUGGUGGAGGAUUAUAUAUUCAGAUCCAUUAUGCAUAUUAACACCCCUCUGAUUAUGAACAUGAAUAUGCUUUAUGAGUAGUUACGUUUGUUCCUGAGGACAUGGGAGAAGUCUUGC